Molecule: transfer RNA, 74 nt
Filed under: Micromonospora humi
Lineage: Bacteria; Bacillati; Actinomycetota; Actinomycetes; Micromonosporales; Micromonosporaceae
Description: tRNA_His_GTG
Rfam family: tRNA
About the family: Transfer RNA (tRNA) molecules are approximately 80 nucleotides in length. Their secondary structure includes four short double-helical elements and three loops (D, anti-codon, and T loops).
Source: RNAcentral
GUGGCUGUAGCUCAAUGGCAGAGCGCCGGGUUGUGGCCGCGGAGGUGCCGGGUCAGUACCGGCCAGUCACCCCA